RNAcentral lists this non-coding RNA (148 nucleotides) under Homo sapiens (human). The record is from Rfam by way of RNAcentral. Lineage: Eukaryota; Metazoa; Chordata; Mammalia; Primates; Hominidae.
GCUGGGCGUGGUGGCGCGCGCCUGUAAUCCCAGCUACUUAGGAGACUGAGGCAGGAGAAUCGCUUGAACCCGGGAGGCGGAGGUUGUAGUGAGCCAAGAUUGCACCACUGCACUCCAGCCUGGGCGACAGAGUGAGACCCUGUCUCCA